Molecule: ribosomal RNA, 202 nt
Filed under: uncultured Enterobacteriaceae bacterium
Lineage: Bacteria; Pseudomonadati; Pseudomonadota; Gammaproteobacteria; Enterobacterales; Enterobacteriaceae
Description: partial 16S ribosomal RNA
Rfam family: Bacterial small subunit ribosomal RNA
Source: RNAcentral
CGCCGCGCCUACGGGAGGCAGCAGUGGGGAAUAUUGCACAAUGGGCGCAAGCCUGAUGCAGCCAUGCCGCGUGUAUGAAGAAGGCCUUCGGGUUGUAAAGUACUUUCAGCGGGGAGGAAGGGAGUAAAGUUAAUACCUUUGCUCAUUGACGUUACCCGCAGAAGAAGCACCGGCUAACUCCGUGCCAGCAGCCGCGGUAAUA